Long non-coding RNA from Mus musculus (house mouse), 1422 nucleotides. RefSeq annotates it as predicted gene, 34576. The record is from RefSeq and is a predicted model, not a curated record. The transcript is spliced from 4 exons. Lineage: Eukaryota; Metazoa; Chordata; Mammalia; Rodentia; Muridae.
CAGACAAAUCAACAAACAAUAGCAACAAAAUGACAGCAAACCUGGAAGAACUAUAUUUUCUCCUCUUUAUUUUAAAGUGGGACAUCAUUCGACACGAUUCAAAUCAAAGAGGUACAGGGGAAAAUUUGUGGAAAAUUUCUACAAACCUGUUUUCUGAUCAUUCAGGAGCCUCCCUUUCUCUGCAACAUUUUCCUCUCUCCUCUCUGCAAGAUGCAGAUUACUGGCUGGAGAUGAAGCCGUCAUUUUGAGACUACAACUCGGUUAGAAACACCAAACCUAGUGAAGCAGAAUGCAGCAGAGACUAGUUAGAGGUGAGAGGUGUCUGAGAGCUGCUACCUGCACUGCCCACCUUUGGGUACAGGAGGAGAAAUGGCUGUUCGGCUGAGACUCUUAAUGUGGUUUCCUUAGCUUGCAGCUGAAUAGGAUCACUGAUUAGUAUAGGAUUUGAGCACUGGACUCAAAUGGUGAAUAACACUUUAACAAGAACUAAAGUGCAUCAAGGUACGGCAGCCUGAGGAGCAGAGCUGAGCAGGAGGAGAAUCUCAAUGCACAUAAUCCAGAAUCGAUUCACUAAUGUCCUCGAGCUCACUCUGCAGCCAAGGAUGAGUUUGAACUUCUGAUGCUCUUGCCUCUACUUCUGGAGUGGUGGGGUAACAAGCAAGUGUCAGCACUUGGACUCUUGAAGGCAUAUGAACCCCAGAAACAGCUGUCACUUGAAGACCUCGAAACAACAGCUGAGGAAAGCCUGAGAGGAUACAGAGGUUUUGACUGUUAUCUGCAGUGAAGGACAGCCGGACUUCAGAAAACAGAACUCUAACUGUAUUAGUCAAUAUUCACGGAUUUUGUUUUACUUACAGUUCCUGCCUCCAGUUCCUGCCUUGGCUUCCCCUGAAGAUGGACUGUCAACCUAUAAGCCACAGAAUACCCUUCCCUUCUCAAAGUUUGUUUUGGUCAGUGUUUUAUCACAGCAAAAGAAAUCACACUAGAACAAUCACCUUCCAAUCGUGGUAUUGUAAACUUUACACCAAUGGCUCCCAAACCCAACUGCAUAUUUGUGUGAUGAGGCCUAUGUAAAGCAACGCCAGAACCCCACCUCAACUGUACUGAAUUGGAAUCUCCCAGACUCAGGUUAUGAAGCACGCCAGAGUCACAUGGUGAUUAAUUUUGUCCUCAGCUGACCCCAUGCCACCCUCUGCUUGAGACAAAGGUGGAAAAUUAAGAAAGUGCUCCCUUUCAUGGCUUUGUGAGGGUAGAGUCUGAUAGCUGCAUGCCCUGAGAGUGUUCCCUUAAUUUCACAUCCUAAACACCUCAUUUGGCCUCAUCCAGUCUCUACUCCAAUUCAAAUAAUGUAAACUUAGCAAAUAGAACCUGUCGUUUGUCAUACACAGAAAUCUGAGCCAAACUGUUGUUCACAAAUAAAUA